CAUGCAAGUCGAACGAGACCUUCGGGUCUAGUGGCGCACGGGUGCGUAACGCGUGGGAAUCUGCCCUUAGGUUCGGAAUAACUCAGGGAAACUUGAGCUAAUACCGGAUGAUGACUUCGGUCCAAAGAUUUAUCGCCUAAGGAUGAGCCCGCGUAGGAUUAGCUAGUUGGUGAGGUAAAAGCUCACCAAGGCGACGAUCCUUAGCUGGUCUGAGAGGAUGAUCAGCCACACUGGGACUGAGACACGGCCCAGACUCCUACGGGAGGCAGCAGUGGGGAAUAUUGGACAAUGGGCGAAAGCCUGAUCCAGCAAUGCCGCGUGAGUGAUGAAGGCCUUAGGGUUGUAAAGCUCUUUUACCCGGGAUGAUAAUGACAGUACCGGGAGAAUAAGCCCCGGCUAACUCCGUGCCAGCAGCCGCGGUAAUACGGAGGGGGCUAGCGUUGUUCGGAAUUACUGGGCGUAAAGCGUGCGCAGGCGGUAAUGUAAGACAGUUGUGAAAUCCCCGGGCUCAACCUGGGAACUGCAUCUGUGACUGCAUUGCUGGAGUACGGUAGAGGGGGAUGGAAUUCCGCGUGUAGCAGUGAAAUGCGUAGAUAUGCGGAGGAACACCGAUGGCGAAGGCAAUCCCCUGGACCUGUACUGACGCUCA
RNAcentral lists this ribosomal RNA (649 nucleotides) under uncultured bacterium. RNAcentral's name for it is "bacterial SSU rRNA". It matches the Rfam family "Bacterial small subunit ribosomal RNA", at positions 54 to 749 of the family's 1533-position model. The record is from RNAcentral.